This 440-nucleotide long non-coding RNA is filed under the name Medicago truncatula (barrel medic). RNAcentral describes it as "lncRNA gene21876". Lineage: Eukaryota; Viridiplantae; Streptophyta; Magnoliopsida; Fabales; Fabaceae. The record is from RNAcentral.
UCCGUAUUACAUUUCUUCGCCAUCAACUAAGAGUACAAAAUCCAUAACAAUAUUGUCCGUAAAAAUAGAAAAAUAAAAAUAAAAAUUAUUAGAUGCUAUCAUAAACUCACAUACAUAAAGUGGAGGUCGAGGUUUGAACUCCAAUCAUAACAUCCGACCUAACAAUUUCGACAUUUUUAUCAGUUGACGGCUUAUCUAACUUUAUAGAGUAAUAUUAUGAGAACAUCUCUCAAUCACAUAUACAUUGGGCAGUCCAGGGAGGGGGAAAAACUAAUAUAUAAACACACUUUGGUUUAAGAGGAAACAUGCACAUAUAUUUUGGACAAUCGGAAUCUUGAAAGCAUUUAAUAACCGCUGCAAAGAAAAAAGAGGAUAAAUGUAUGAUACUAAAAUGGAUAAAAUAUUAUGGAGUAACUAACUAAGAGAAAAAAAGAUAAAAA